RNAcentral lists this small RNA (355 nucleotides) under uncultured Pseudomonas sp. Its description in RNAcentral is "Pseudomonas sRNA CrcZ". It matches the Rfam family "Pseudomonas sRNA CrcZ". Lineage: Bacteria; Pseudomonadati; Pseudomonadota; Gammaproteobacteria; Pseudomonadales; Pseudomonadaceae. The record is from RNAcentral.
AUAACAACAAUAACAAGCAGUCCUCAACAAGAAUAAGACGUAACGGCUCUAGCAGAACAACAACAAGAAGGCAGAGACGCAGCUAACUGAUUCUUUUGGAGUCGACUUGCCGGCGGGGCUUGCCCCACGACCAGACCGAGAACAAUAAAACUGCCCUGAGGCAGCGCCCGAACUGGUUGGAUGACGGCAAUAUCAGCGACCAAAGCAAUCCGUUUGCUAUUGGCUCCCGGAUGGGAGCUCCCGGUGACGCACCGGGACGGACGACCAACAAAAACAACACGUCCGUAACCAAUAAUAAAAAAGCACGACCACAUUAGGGGGGAGCUUCGGCUCCCCCCAGUGCUUUGCGCCCUCC